UGCCAGCAGCCGCGGUAACACGAACUGCGCGAACGUUAUUCGGAAUCACUGGGCUUAAAGCGUGCGUAGGCGGCUUGGUAGGUGUGAUGUGAAAGCCCACGGCUCAACCGUGGAAUUGCGUCGCAAACCCCCAAGCUUGAGGAAGACAGGGGUGUUGGGAACUUAUGGUGGAGCGGUGAAAUGCGUUGAUAUCAUAGGGAACACCGGUGGCGAAGGCGCAACACUGGGUCUCUUCUGACGCUGAGGCACGAAAGCUAGGGUAGCGAACGGGAUUAGAUA
This 279-nucleotide ribosomal RNA is filed under the name uncultured bacterium. Its description in RNAcentral is "partial 16S ribosomal RNA". It matches the Rfam family "Bacterial small subunit ribosomal RNA", at positions 506 to 784 of the family's 1533-position model. The record is from RNAcentral.